Taeniopygia guttata (zebra finch) is the source of this 1967-nucleotide non-coding RNA. NCBI's taxonomy places the organism in Eukaryota, Metazoa, Chordata, Aves, Passeriformes, Estrildidae. The record is from RefSeq and is a predicted model, not a curated record.
CCGCUCCCGGUGUCACUCGGAGCCGCGGCGGAGCGCCCGCUGCCGCCGGGGGGCGGGGGCCGCGGGCUCCGCCGCUCCGCAGCAGCCGGUAGCCAUGCGCUGGUUUAGUUGCUCGUAGUUGCUGAAGUAAAACUUCUAUCCUCUCCAUGCUAACUGUUGACAUGGAAAACAAGGAAAAUGGCUCUCUGGAUGUCAAAAAUUCACUAGAGAAUGGAAGACCUCUGGAUCCUGCUGACUGGGCUGUUACUGAUGUUGUGAAUUAUUUCAGAACAGCUGGAUUUGAAGAACAAGCCAAUGCUUUUCAGGAACAGGAAAUUGAUGGCAAAUCAUUACUGUUGAUGACAAGAAAUGAUGUACUGACUGGACUUUCAUUAAAACUGGGGCCUGCGCUGAAAAUCUAUGAAUAUCACGUAAAACCUCUACAGACACAACAUCUAAAGAACAACUCUUUAUAGCUAAUGGUCUAAUUGGGGUCAUGCUGUGCCUCAAAGGAAAAAUAAGCAAUUUGGUUUCAUGUGAUGGAACUUUGUAAAGAGAGACUAUAUCUAUUAAGAGUUUAAACCAAAUUAGAAUAUAUAUCCUAUUGGAUAGAGCUGGCAAUAUACUAUAUGCUGAGUCUGAACUGAGAGAGGUGGUGUGUAUUUUUUACAUAGUACAUAAUGGUUUUCUCUUUUAGGAAGUGUCAAUGAGCAUAUUGAAAUAGCUACAUCACUGUAUCCAGAACAAAAGGGAGUUUACUUUACAGAUCUUUUACUUUGUUGUGGUAUACUGGAGCUCCUUUCCUCCCUUUUCCUAUUAAAAAGGAGAAGCCCUGGCCACAGGUCACCAGUAAGAUCCGCGUUUCCCUUAGCCCUGUGCGGAGCUGUCAGCGGUGCGGAGCUGCUGCGCUGGCCCUGGUACACGGGGUGGGUCCCUGUACCCCAGAACGUCUGGGACACAGCCCACGGAUGGUGCUGAACCCUGGCUGGGCCCACCAUCAUCUCUGGUCCAGACAGCUGUGUCAUGACCCCUGAAAUGGGGAAGGAAUGUGGGGUUGCAUCAGUGAUGCUGAGCAGAGGAACAAGGAAGGAGGAAACAAGCAGGAGAAUGUGAUGAAAGUGGAGAUGGUGUGGGAGGAAAUGGUGAGGGGGUGUAGCUGGGAAGGGAAAGGGUGCUGCUUUCUGCCAAGUGGGGCCACAAUUCAGGGAGAGGAAGGAGAAACUCCUGCAGUCUCCUGCCUGAGUAGUGGCCCUGUCUUCACUUGGACUUGGCCAAGUGUGAGGUGGCUGUUCAUGCUUGUGGUCACUGGUGUUAAAGGGAAAAAGGGGAGAGAAGGGACAAAGCCAUGCUAAUAGCUGUGCCAUAGGUGAAGCUCAUGGUAUGUGCUAUAUUAUAUAAAUAUAUACAGCAGCAUGUUUUCUUGAAUUCUUCCUAACCUUUACAUGGUACAAUGUAUAUAUUUGGAAUUUGGGACAAUAGGACAGAGAUGUAUUCAUAAUUUCUUUGUCUGGUCCCUUGUACGGAGCUUACUUUAGGUAUUGGUCUGUUAGCAGCAGGUUUGUAAAUCGUGGUCUGAAUUCUGUUUAUGAUUUUAUUUAUAGUUUGGUCAUGUCCAGAGAUACCUGCUGGGAGUAGGGCUCUGCUGGACUGGAUUCAAAUAGAGAUCAUCAACCCUGCCUUGGGGAAUUUUGAGCUGUCGUCUGUAUCUGGCUAAUUUUGGACUGCAGUUUAAAAAUUAUACAUUAAACACCUAAAUAUUUUAAUAGAGAAUUAGGUAUGUUUAUGAAAAGGAUCAUGAAAGGAGUCUGGACAUGCUAACCAGCACUGUAUGUACAUAAUGAGAAUACAUAGUGCUGUGUUACUGAAGGAUUAAUGGAAUAUUCUUUUUUUUCUCCAUUUCCAUGUUUGGUAUGGGAUUUACAUUUUGUGGUCCUAUGGGAGGCAAAAUUUGAAGUAAAAUAUACUUAUUCCAAGAGGGAGUAAAAAUC